Molecule: ribosomal RNA, 557 nt
Filed under: uncultured archaeon
Lineage: Archaea
Description: bacterial SSU rRNA
Rfam family: Archaeal small subunit ribosomal RNA
Source: RNAcentral
CAGCAGGCGCGAAACCUCUGCAAUAGGCGAAAGCUUGACAGGGUUACUCUGAGUGAUGUCCGCUAAGGGCAUCUUUUGGCACUUCUAAAAAUAGUGUAGAAUAAGGGGUGGGCAAGUCUGGUGUCAGCCGCCGCGGUAAUACCAGCACCCCGAGUGGUCGGGACGAUUAUUGGGCCUAAAGCAUCCGUAGCCGGUUCUGCAAGUCUUCCGUUAAAUCCACCUGCUCAACAGAUGGGCUGCGGAGGAUACUACAGGGCUAGGAGGCGGGAGAGGCAAGCGGUACUCAGUGGGUAGGGGUAAAAUCCUCUGAUCCACUGAAGACCACCAGUGGCGAAGGCGGCUUGCCAGAACGCGCUCGACGGUGAGGGAUGAAAGCUGGGGGAGCAAACCGGAUUAGAUACCCGGGUAGUCCCAGCUGUAAACGAUGCAGACUCGGUGAUGGGUUGGCUUCGAGCCAACCCAGUGCCGCAGGGAAGCCGUUAAGUCUGCCGCCUGGGGAGUACGGUCGCAAGACUGAAACUUGAAGGAAUUGGCGGGGGAGCACAAGGGCGAUUCGC